UAACUCCCCGGCCGUUUAUUGGUCCUCGCUCAAAACCCUAGGAAGAGAGCAGGAGCGCGGGUCGAUGACGGCAGCGAUCUCCAUGGCAAGAGUAGGCAGUUUUGAGGUGGAGGAGGACGAGGAGGAACCGAGGAGCCCUUCGACGCCGUUGGUCCACAGCCAGGUGAGGCGGAUCCGCGAAGAGGACCUGCGGAUAGGCGCCGUCGCUGGGGAGGGGUUGAGUGAGAGGGUUAUCCGGUUCCACCUCGCCCUCCAUCAUGCCUCCGUCUCCGCCGAUGCGGCUCUCUGUUCUCGAGUCGCAUCGCUUCCGGCCUCUCCGCUUCGCAAUAGCAGGACCGCCCUCGGAUCGGCUUGAUUAGGUCACUGUUGUCCGGCGUAGGGAAAUUGGACGAGUUUUAGAAAUACCUCUGUUUUUUUUCUUCCUUUUAUCAAUCAUGAUCUGUACAGUGCAAUCAUAGGUUUUUGACAUCAUAUUAAUCGUAAUACCGCGGAUUUGGUAUCUUGUCCUCUAAUUUUCAGGUCAUUUGAUGUGCGAGUUCCAAUUCUUUUACUUUUCUAUUUGUUUGCUGUAUGUUUUGUGCUGCGCACUUGCUCUACGAAGUUACAAGUUAAACCGUCAGUUCAACCGUUUCUGUACCUACCGAAAAAAAGCGUCCUAUAGGCUGUACAGCCGGGCCGCUCCAUGGGGCCCACGUCCUCAUCCUAUACGCAUGCGACGUUGACGUUUCGUCCUCACGAACAAAUCCGUAUCGUUGAUCGUCUCCCUCAUGAAUCGUCCUUUUAUCUUUGGCAAGGAAGAAGCCUCUUUCAUCGAAGCUGCUGCUGAUUCGAAGAAACUGGCAACCCGAACACAUGCACGGUCAUUAAUGUUUUCUGCUUCGCUACAAUCAUAAACACGUUUCAUAUAUGAUAACGUUUAAAUUUAACAGGAGUUGGCAUUCCAAAUUCGCUUAACUUACUUGUCAAAGGACGAGACGAGUCAGAAAUCAGAAUGCAUAGCGCCAAGAGAUGAAUUGUGGACUGUGGCAUUUAACAACGCUAUCAACAGAGUUACAGAAAACACGAUGUCGGUCGGUUGUCUGCAGAGAUAACAACUCGAGCCAGGCAUUCACAAAGUGGAAGAAAAAGAACAAGAAAAUGGAAAUACUGAUGCUUGCUACUUCCUAACUCGCACUCUCCGAACAGAGUUUACGUACGUACACUAUCUAUAUACAUCUACGUGGUCAUGUAGAUGUGGACUUCCAUAUCUAUAUAGAUGUGAUUAUAUUAACUGAGCUAUCGUCAAUCAGGAACGGAGCAGGCUCCGGAUGAUCUCGGCCUCGGCGCUGUUGGUGUCCAUGGUCGCCAUGAUGGCAGAGAGCCGGUCACUGAGGUCGUCCACCUCCCUGUUCAGGCUCCUGAUAUAGUUGCACGUUUCCUUCAGUAACUUCGCCGCGGACACCUGCUCGAGGAAAGAACACAAGAUCACUGAAACACAUGUAUUAACCAGUCGAUGCUUGCUUCCUCUGCCAAUUAAAGUUCAUGUCAGGAAACCAAACUGAAGAGGAAAUUCAAGCAUCAUCUUGAAGGGCUCUACCAACGACCAUCAUCUCGAAUAUCUGAAAAGCUCUCGAGAAAAAACUAACAAAAAGCUAGAAAACUUUUUAGGAGGGAGAAAAAGACUCAAACCUAGCUAAUAAUUUAGUAGUGGACUGGUACAUAACAAAGAAGGAGAACGUGUCAGAUAGCUUUUGACCUCCCCAUUAGACUUUGACGAUCGAGUUUGUGACCUGCACAAACAAUUUAAAAUCACUGUACUGCAAAAUCUUUCUAGAUGGACCACUACAAGAUAUGAUGGUCCACUUGUUGUCGAGAUUUCGUAGGCAAUAUUGCUUCAUCGAAUUUGAGAUGGAUUAUUGUUGUCUUGCACAAAUUACUGAGAGCCUUCAGAUCUUCUUGUAUCAUAUUCAACUGAGUUCUUGCGCAUGGAUCUUUGAUUAUUUUUUUUUAUGUUUUUAAUAUAUA
This is a long non-coding RNA of Zingiber officinale, 2004 nucleotides long. RefSeq lists it as uncharacterized. The record is from RefSeq and is a predicted model, not a curated record. The transcript has 4 exons. NCBI's taxonomy places the organism in Eukaryota, Viridiplantae, Streptophyta, Magnoliopsida, Zingiberales, Zingiberaceae.